This is a long non-coding RNA of Lontra canadensis (Northern American river otter), 274 nucleotides long. RefSeq lists it as uncharacterized. The record is from RefSeq and is a predicted model, not a curated record. The transcript has 3 exons. Lineage: Eukaryota; Metazoa; Chordata; Mammalia; Carnivora; Mustelidae.
UUCCCCCCACUGCCCAGCGCCAUACUGAGGUGGGCUGAGGGGUAACCCCCAAGGGACAAUCGGAGGGGCCUAGGCCUACCACUCCUUCUCUCUAUUCCGUUUUUGGCAUGUGAUGAAAAAUAUUGCUUUUUGGAUUCAUCUCUCCCGGCCUUGGAUUUAAAAAUAAUGUUAACCAUGUGAGUUGGGGGAAGGCUCUGAGGGGACUAAAGAAGCCCCACCCUAAUCCCUCUCCCCCAAGAAGGGAUGGGGGGGAUUAUCCAAUAUUGUUCCUGGA